AGGAAGGCAGACCCAGGGAACUGAAACAUCUAAGUACCUGGAGGAAGAGAAAGAAAAAUCGAUUUCCUGAGUAGCGGCGAGCGAAACGGAAAGAGCCCAAACCAAGAAGCUUGCUUCUUGGGGUUGUAGGACACUCUAUACGGAGUUACAAAAGAAAGUUAUAAAUGAAGCGGUCUGGAAAGGCCCGCCAAAGACGGUAACAGCCCGGUAGUUGAAAUGGCUUUCCCUCCAGAGUGGAUCCUGAGUACGGCGGAACACGUGAAAUUCCGUCGGAAUCCGGGAGGACCAUCUCCCAAGGCUAAAUACUCCCUAGUGACCGAUAGUGAACCAGUACCGUGAGGGAAAGGUGAAAAGCACCCCGGAAGGGGAGUGAAACAGUUCCUGAAACCGUGUGCCUACAAGUAGUUAGAGCCCGUUAAUGGGUGAUAGCGUGCCUUUUGUAGAAUGAACCGGCGAGUUACGAUUUGUUGCAAGGUUAAGCGGAAAAAGCGGAGCCGUAGCGAAAGCGAGUCUGAAUAGGGCGCAUAAGUAACAGGUCGUAGACCCGAAACCAGGUGAUCUACCCAUGUCCAGGAUGAAGGUAAGGUAAUACUUACUGGAGGUCCGAACCCACGCACGUUGAAAAGUGCGGGGAUGAGGUGUGGGUAGCGGAGAAAUUCCAAUCGAACUUGGAGAUAGCUGGUUCUCUCCGAAAUAGCUUUAGGGCUAGCCUCGAGGUAAAGAGUCAUGGAGGUAGAGCACUGUUUGGACUAGGGGCCCUUCUCGGGUUACCGAAUUCAGAUAAACUCCGAAUGCCAUGUACUUAUACUCGGGAGUCAGACUGCGAGUGAUAAGAUCCGUAGUCGAAAGGGAAACAGCCCAGACCACCAGUUAAGGUCCCCAAAUAUAUGUUAAGUGGAAAAGGAUGUGGGGUUGCUUAGACAACCAGGAUGUUGGCUUAGAAGCAGCCACCAUUGAAAGAGUGCGUAAUAGCUCACUGGUCGAGUGACCCCGCGCCGAAAAUGUACCGGGGCUAAACAUAUUA
Molecule: ribosomal RNA, 1024 nt
Filed under: Listeria monocytogenes
Lineage: Bacteria; Bacillati; Bacillota; Bacilli; Caryophanales; Listeriaceae
Description: partial 23S ribosomal RNA
Rfam family: Bacterial large subunit ribosomal RNA
Source: RNAcentral